This 234-nucleotide ribosomal RNA is filed under the name uncultured bacterium. RNAcentral describes it as "partial 16S ribosomal RNA". It matches the Rfam family "Bacterial small subunit ribosomal RNA", at positions 118 to 347 of the family's 1533-position model. The record is from RNAcentral.
UGAGUAACCUGCCCCAGACUCUGGGAUAAGCACUGGAAACGGUGUCUAAUACCGGAUACGAGCUUCAGCCGCAUGGCUAGGAGCUGGAAAAGAAUUUUCGGUCUGGGAUGGACUCGCGGCCUAUCAGCUAGUUGGUGAGGUAACGGCCCACAAGGCGACGACGGGUAGCCGGCCUGAGAGGGUGACCGGCCACACGUGGGACUGAGACACGGCCAGACCUCCGUACGGGNGCAG